This is a non-coding RNA of Coriobacteriaceae bacterium EMTCatB1, 351 nucleotides long. It matches the Rfam family "transfer-messenger RNA". From Rfam's summary of the family: Bacterial tmRNA, also known as 10Sa RNA or SsrA, is named for its dual tRNA and mRNA-like properties. Its role is to liberate the mRNA from a stalled ribosome. The record is from Rfam. Lineage: Bacteria; Bacillati; Actinomycetota; Coriobacteriia; Coriobacteriales; Coriobacteriaceae.
GGGGGCGACUGGAUUCGACACGAUAGGUCUGAGGGAAGAAGCAGGCCGAGGUCUCCUCACCUCGUUAAACAGGGGUGCAGACGCUCAAGCGUCAACUCUGAUCUUGCUCUCGCUGCCUAACUAGCGCAGCGACGCCGAACCGGUGAGCGUCCCCGUCACCGGCGAGGCGCCGACUCAGGGGACUGCCGCAGCAGCAACGGGCGGGAGCGCUGCUGCGAAAGACCUGACCGCCAGGGCGUUUGGACGCGGGUCACCGGUGUCCCAGACGCUGACGACAACGGGUGACUGAGCCUGGAGAUGCUUCCCAGGGGUCUAUCGUGGACCGGAGUUCGAUUCUCCGCGCCUCCACCA